RNAcentral lists this transfer RNA (61 nucleotides) under Walchia hayashii. RNAcentral's name for it is "tRNA-Glu". Lineage: Eukaryota; Metazoa; Arthropoda; Arachnida; Trombidiformes; Trombiculidae. The record is from RNAcentral.
AUCCCUUAAGUAGAAAAUACGCUUGAGUUUCAAUCAAGAAAAUCAUUUAAAGAAAGGGAAA